UUUGUUUUUCAGCCUUUUGGCUAAGAUCGAGCAUAGAAGUUGUUCUUAUCAGUUCAGGACGUGAUAUGUCCUCUAUCCAAGGACAAUGAUAUUAAGUGAAUUUUGGAACAGGGAAAUGGAAAGGAUUUUGUCUGUGCAGUCCACUCAUUGCACAUCAACCUGGCAGUGCUAUACUUCAGGGAAUAGUCCUC
Molecule: small nuclear RNA, 191 nt
Filed under: Jaculus jaculus (lesser Egyptian jerboa)
Lineage: Eukaryota; Metazoa; Chordata; Mammalia; Rodentia; Dipodidae
Description: U2 spliceosomal RNA (ENSJJAG00000004851.1)
Rfam family: U2 spliceosomal RNA
About the family: U2 is a small nuclear RNA (snRNA) component of the spliceosome (involved in pre-mRNA splicing).
Source: RNAcentral